Molecule: ribosomal RNA, 83 nt
Filed under: Gnetum nodiflorum
Lineage: Eukaryota; Viridiplantae; Streptophyta; Gnetopsida; Gnetales; Gnetaceae
Description: partial 5.8S ribosomal RNA
Rfam family: 5.8S ribosomal RNA
About the family: 5.8S ribosomal RNA (5.8S rRNA) is a component of the large subunit of the eukaryotic ribosome. It is transcribed by RNA polymerase I as part of the 45S precursor that also contains 18S and 28S rRNA. Functionally, it is thought that 5.8S rRNA may be involved in ribosome translocation.
Source: RNAcentral
UGCAGAAUCCCGUGAAUCAUCGAAUCUUUGAACGCAAGUUGCGCCCGAGGCCUAGGCCGAGGGCACGUCUGCCUGGGUGUCGU